GCCUGCUUAGCUCAGAGGUU
This 20-nucleotide transfer RNA is filed under the name Cichorium intybus (chicory). RNAcentral describes it as "partial tRNA-Thr". The record is from RNAcentral. RNAcentral also lists the same sequence under 89 other names. Lineage: Eukaryota; Viridiplantae; Streptophyta; Magnoliopsida; Asterales; Asteraceae.